GCGCCAGUAGCUCAACUGGAUAGAGCACCGGCCUUCUAAGCCGGCGGUUCGGGGUUCAAGUCCCUGCUGGCGUAC
RNAcentral lists this transfer RNA (75 nucleotides) under bacterium BMS3Bbin04. Its description in RNAcentral is "tRNA-Arg". It matches the Rfam family "tRNA". From Rfam's summary of the family: Transfer RNA (tRNA) molecules are approximately 80 nucleotides in length. Their secondary structure includes four short double-helical elements and three loops (D, anti-codon, and T loops). The record is from RNAcentral.